Molecule: long non-coding RNA, 2354 nt
Organism: Triticum aestivum (bread wheat)
Lineage: Eukaryota; Viridiplantae; Streptophyta; Magnoliopsida; Poales; Poaceae
Exons: 3
Source: RefSeq, a predicted model, not a curated record
CCCACACGUGGUGAGCUCCAACCUCUCUUUCCAACCCCUGAACAUCUGAUCUGAAGUGGACAUCAAUUUUAAUUGUUAUGUACACAACAUGGAUGUGGCACGUGAUGGCAGCAGGGCGCUUGAAUGGUUUCUAACCAAGAUACUGCAUCCGACCACUGCCUCCUGACAGGGUAGUGCAGAUCAAGUAGCCUCCAUUGGGUGACUGCUGCUGAGGCCUAAUUGGCCGAUCGUGGUCGUGCUCCUACUCCUACUCCUGCUCCAGUCCGUUUAAUAUCAAGGACGUCCUCCUCCCCUCCUCCUACCCCCACACGUGGUGAGGUCCAAUGCAUAUGUGGAUAAUCAGGAACUGGUGGUACAACUGUUUAAUCGGUUACUUCAUAAACUGUUCCACUGUGUGCAUGAACAUGUACACAUUUUUUCCUGCUAUUUAUAUACAUAACUAUUGGACAGUGAGAAGAUUUCCAUUUUGUGCGUGAACAUACUUUUUUUUGUCAAUCCAUCUCUUAUCAUGCACACAUCCUAUCAUAUAUUAUAUGAUAAUCUUUUAGUUGCUCACUGUACAUAUAGGUGCUCAAAAUUUUAGAUUCCAUAGAACUUCUGUUUGUAGUGAAAAAAAGGGUAUCUGUAGCUUUUCAGUUGAUGUCUAUUUAAAUCAAUAGAAUACCUGUUGAGUAUAUGUGUUCAUUGGUGCACCAUGCUGAAUUACUUUUCCGUUCAAAAAAGCAAUUACUUUUGUAUAUUGUGAUGCCUCCCAUAGUAGUUUGCACCCUGGAACCAACCAACAGCAGAUGCAAUAUAUUUUUCCAAGUAUAUACCGCCCUUACUGUUUUAAAAAACAUACGUUGUUGAUUCCUUUUUUAUUUUUUCCUACACCCUGCUGUGGGAUUCUUAAUAGCCUUACCUGCAUAUGAACAAACUGCAAGAGACAGAUACAGUUCCUGACCUAUGAAAGGCUGUUUCAUGACUUAUCCAUCUCACAUGACCACCUUCUAUAUCUACAGGUAUUUAUCAGUUCUUUCUACUUACAUGGCGGAUAUAUCUACAAGUAAACCUACAGGUUCUUUGUAGUUCAAAUGCAGUAUCCUAUAUCAUUUUUAUUAUUAUGCAGAACUGUUUGUUCAGUCACAUAUGCCCUUUACUAGAGAGAGCGAAAACGGAAAACUAUUGUGGAGCAAAUUAGAUGGGCGAACCAAUAGAUAAUUAUGUAGCCGUUCUUGGGUGUCAAUGGAUCACAGUUUACUAAUCAUAUCGAGAAAAUAAAUAUAACUACUUGAGAAUAAAGGGAAAAUGAGAAUAAAGGAUGGUUGUGGUAGUAGAAUGGUAGUUUUGCUUAGGCGCAAUCAUACUUAUGGAGUAGUAAAUAACCUGUCAUGUCAUUCUUCAAGUCUGCACAUAGCAUUGUUAUUGUAGGAGCAGAUUUCUCAUCCUUAAGGAACCUGAACUUGCUUAAUAGCCAAUUUAGUGGUGUAAUACUAGUUUCUUGAUGUCAACUCUAAUGCUUCUGUUUACAUUCCUUGAUGUCAUUUCUGUUUUGCAAUCAUAUGACAUUGUCUCAUGUAAAUGAGUAUGGGCUGCUGUCAAUUUUUUAAUCUACAAUUCAUCUAGUGGUUUUUUACAUGGUAGCUUAAUAUCCUCCUUUUCUAAUAUGCAAACUUCUAAUAUGUGAGGUGAAUAAGUGCAUGAGGUGCGGUUCGCCUUAGGCUGCUCCUGCUCGUCGGCUGUCUGGUCCAGCGUCACUUAACCGUUGUGACCUGGCUGGUUUGGUUCAGCUUCGAGCUGCCUACCGCGGAGUGGGAGGCCGACACGCUCAUGAACAUCGAGGCCAGAUCAAGUACGCUGGUGCACUGCGGCAUGCGGCGGCCUAUUUUGUUGUAGUGGUGUUGUAUAUGGUCUCAUCGAGCACUGAGUAUCCAUAUGUUGUUCUAAUCCUGAUGAUGAUGUUGUAGCGUGGACACCAUAUUCAGUUUGUCUUGAUGCUUUAUCUCUUGUGAUUCUUGUCUGAUGCACAUUGUUCCUUGCAGGGUUAUGAUGAUAUUUCCAAGGAAAUAUACUGACCCAGAUGUGACGAAGGGAAGGCCAAAGAAAGAAAACACAAAAACAGUAGCAUGCAACUGCCAAGCCUUGAUCAGACUACACCGUACAACAGAAAAUGGAUGGUAUAUACACGAUUUCAGAACUGAACACAACCACCAUUUUGUCAUCGUCGUGUGGCGAGAAACUACAUUGGCCAUCACACAGGAUCAUUGACACACCAAAUAUAUAGUGAAAUGAUGUGCUCUAUGUUCAUUCUACUGUGUUAUUGAGAUCCUGUGGUGUAAUUAUACUGCUGUGUUAUUUUGAGAAUUAUAUUAUUA